CGAGCUACCAUGCAGUCGAGCGCCCCGCAGGGGGAGCGGCAGACGGGUGAGUAACGCGUGGGAAUCUACCCAUCACUACGGAACAACUCCGGGAAACUGGAGCUAAUACCGUAUACGUCCUUCGGGAGAAAGAUUUAUCGGUGAUGGAUGAGCCCGCGUUGGGUUAGCUAGUUGGUGGGGUAAUGGCCUACCAAGGCGACGAUCCAUAGCUGGUCUGAGAGGAUGAUCAGCCACACUGGGACUGAGACACGGCCCAGACUCCUACGGGAGGCAGCAGUGGGGAAUAUUGGACAAUGGGCGCAAGCCUGAUCCAGCCAUGCCGCGUGAGUGAUGAAGGCCCUAGGGUUGUAAAGCUCUUUCAACGGUGAAGAUAAUGACGGUAACCGUAAAAAAAGCCCCGGCUAACUUCGUGCCAGCGCCCCGGGGAAAAUAA
RNAcentral lists this ribosomal RNA (433 nucleotides) under uncultured bacterium. RNAcentral's name for it is "bacterial SSU rRNA". It matches the Rfam family "Bacterial small subunit ribosomal RNA", at positions 47 to 528 of the family's 1533-position model. The record is from RNAcentral.